CGUGGGCAACCUGCCCUUUGCACUGGGAUAGCCUCGGGAAACCGAGGUUAAUACCGGAUACUCCAUAUUUGUCGCAUGGCGAAUAUGGGAAAGCUCCGGCGGCAAAGGAUGGGCCCGCGGCCUGUUAGCUAGUUGGUGGGGUAGUGGCCUACCAAGGCAAUGAUGGGUAGCCGGGUUGAGAGACCGACCGGCCAGAUUGGGACUGAGACACGGCCCAGACUCCUACGGGAGGCAGCAGAA
This 240-nucleotide ribosomal RNA is filed under the name uncultured Atopobium sp. Its description in RNAcentral is "partial 16S ribosomal RNA". It matches the Rfam family "Bacterial small subunit ribosomal RNA", at positions 116 to 354 of the family's 1533-position model. Lineage: Bacteria; Bacillati; Actinomycetota; Coriobacteriia; Coriobacteriales; Atopobiaceae. The record is from RNAcentral.